UACGUAGGGGGCGAGCGUUGUCCGGAAUGAUUGGGCGUAAAGGGCGCGUAGGUGGCCAUGCAAGUCUGGAGUGGAAGUCCAUUUUUCAAGGGUGGAAUUGCUUUGGAAACUGCGUGGCUGGAGUGCAGGAGAGGUUAUCGGAAUUCCCGGUGUAGCGGUGAAAUGCGUAGAGAUCGGGAGGAACACCAGUGGCGAAGGCGGGUAACUGGACUGCAACUGACGCUGAGGCGCGAAAGUGUGGGGAGCAAACAGGAUUAGAUACCCUGGUAGU
Molecule: ribosomal RNA, 271 nt
Filed under: uncultured prokaryote
Description: partial 16S ribosomal RNA
Rfam family: Bacterial small subunit ribosomal RNA
Source: RNAcentral